UACGGGGGGGGCAAGCGUUGUUCGGAAUUACUGGGCGUAAAGGGCGCGUAGGCGGCCUGCUAAGUCACACGUGAAAUCCCUCGGCUCAACCGAGGAACUGCGUGUGAUACUGGCGGGCUCGAAUUCGGGAGAGGGAUGUGGAAUUCCAGGUGUAGCGGUGAAAUGCGUAGAUAUCUGGAGGAACACCGGUGGCGAAGGCGGCAUCCUGGACCGACAUUGACGCUGAUGCGCGAAAGCUAGGGUAGCAAACGGGA
Molecule: ribosomal RNA, 254 nt
Filed under: uncultured prokaryote
Description: partial 16S ribosomal RNA
Rfam family: Bacterial small subunit ribosomal RNA
Source: RNAcentral